Molecule: ribosomal RNA, 330 nt
Filed under: uncultured bacterium
Lineage: Bacteria
Description: bacterial SSU rRNA
Rfam family: Bacterial small subunit ribosomal RNA
Source: RNAcentral
GCGUAACGCGUAUGCAACCUACCUUUAACAGGGGGAUAACACUGAGAAAUUGGUACUAAUACCCCAUAAUAUCAUAGAAGGCAUCUUUUAUGGUUGAAAAUUCCGAUGGUUAGAGAUGGGCAUGCGUUGUAUUAGCUAGUUGGUGGGGUAACGGCUCACCAAGGCGACGAUACAUAGGGGGACUGAGAGGUUAACCCCCCACACUGGUACUGAGACACGGACCAGACUCCUACGGGAGGCAGCAGUGAGGAAUAUUGGUCAAUGGACGCAAGUCUGAACCAGCCAUGCCGCGUGCAGGAUGACGGCUCUAUGAGUUGUAAACUGCUUUUG